This 2166-nucleotide long non-coding RNA is filed under the name Homo sapiens (human). Its description in RNAcentral is "CDKN2B and CDKN2A antisense cis and trans regulatory RNA 1, transcript variant 22 (CDKN2B-AS1)". The stretch from base 987 to 1130 matches the Rfam family "CDKN2B antisense RNA 1 convserved region 3". Lineage: Eukaryota; Metazoa; Chordata; Mammalia; Primates; Hominidae. The record is from RNAcentral.
AGCUACAUCCGUCACCUGACACGGCCCUACCAGGAACAGCCGCGCUCCCGCGGAUUCUGGUGCUGCUCGCGUCCCCGCUCCCCUAUUCCCCUUAUUUUAUUCCUGGCUCCCCUCGUCGAAAGUCUUCCAUUCUUCAAACUAGAUUAUUUAAAAAUGAAAAAGGAAGAAAGGAAAGCGAGGUCAUCUCAUUGCUCUAUCCGCCAAUCAGGAGGCUGAAUGUCAGUUUUGAACUAAAAGCCGCUCCGCUCCUCUUCUAGAUUUGGAAAACAAGCGAAAUUAAACUAAACCGCUGCACGCCUCUGACGCGACAUCUGGACACGGCGCGGCGCUGGCGCUGCCGGAGCUGUCGACCCGGCCUGGCGCCGGACUAGGACUAUUUGCCACGACAUUUCAAAGGAUUCCAAGAGAGAAUAUUGGUGUCCAUGCUGUGAUGAUUCCUCAGCUCCUCUCAUCUGAUCUCCGUCCUGGCCCCCAUGACUUUCUUUGUGGUAGUUAGGGUGUGGUAUGUGCCACUGAGGCCCACACCUAUUGCUGCAAUUUAUAGCACUGAUCUGUCAUCAAUACCACUUGCUGUCUUGGAUGUGAAGAUGAUUUUUCCUGCAGGGAUUCCCUCUACAAAAUUAAAAACACUGGGCAUGUGGAAAUAAUAUUCAUGCUUUAAAUUGUCUUUUCUCUUCACUACACCAGGGGUCCCCAACCCCUAGGCCACAGACUGUGGCCCUAGUGUAGUGAAUAGAAAAGACAAUUUAAAGCGUGAAUAUUAUUUCCUCAUGCCCAGUGUUUUUAAUUUUGUACUGGUCUGUGGCUUGUUAGAAACCAGGCUGCACAGCAGAAGGUGGGCAGCAGAUAUUGAGAAACCACAGAAAGAGAGAAGUUAAAUAAUUUUCCUGUCAAAGACCACAUCAAUGAUGAAGCCAGAAUUUGAGCUCAUGUACUUAACCACUGGACUACCUGCCUGCCCUGUCGAGGAACAGCUAAGUGUCCCUUUUGAUGAGAAGAAUAAGCCUCAUUCUGAUUCAACAGCAGAGAUCAAAGAAAAGACUUCUGUUUUCUGGCCACCAGAUAUAUGUUAUCUGUGCUUAAAGAAUUGAAAAACACACAUCAAAGGAGAAUUUUCUUGGAAAGAGAGGGUUCAAGCAUCACUGUUAGGUGUGCUGGAAUCCUUUCCCGAGUCAGUACUGCUUUCUAGAAGAAAACCGGGGAGAUCUAUUUGGAAUGUAUCUAACUCCAAAGAAACCAUCAGAGGUAACAGUAGAGACGGGGUUUCACCAUGUUGGCCAGACUGGUCUUGAACUCUCGACCUCGUGAUUCGCCCGCCUCGGCCUCCCAAAGUGCUGGGAUUACAGGUGUGAGACACCACACCCGGCGGAUAGAGAGAAUUUUGACAGGUGAGGAGGUAUUCCAAUGCAAAAGAAUAAUAGGAGCAAAAGCACAGUGGUGAGAAAUUGGAGGGGAACUGUGAAAAUUGCCACAUAGAUUAGAGGCAGGAAAAUAAAGGACGGCUAAGUUUAUAUAGUGAACAGUGAGCCGCAUGGACACAGGUGACUGUUUUCUCCUUUUUGAACCCCUGCUUACUCCAGAGUCACCACCUCUCCUGGCUUUCUGCCAAUCUUCUUGGCCACAGUUUCUCGGUCUUCUUUUCUGGCUUCUCUUCCUUGGCCUGAAUGCUACAUGUUAAGUGAUGUCAGCUUCAGUUUUCUUAACCUCUCUUCUCUUAAGUUGCUAUCAUUUAAAUAUCUUUAAAUAUCAUCUACAUCCAAGUGACCUCUAAACCAGUAAUUUUACCCAUGACCCAUCUCCUCAACUCCGGAUUGUAUAUAAAACUGUCUACUCAACAUCUUCACUUUUGAUGUCUAAAUCUCUAUGUCCAAUUUAGAAUUCUUGAUUCUUUGCUUUCCCUCCCUCCUGGAAAUCCUGCUCUUACCAGUCUUCCCCAUCUUAAUUAAUGAACCUGACAUUCACCUAGUAGCUUAGUCCUCAAAACUAGGGAUUAAUCUAGAUUUAGUCAUUUUUCUUACUCUUGCCAUAUAAUAACAUAUUAUUCUGAGUUUACCUUUACCCGACCCCAAAUAGGUAACUGCUGUUUUUGUUAUAAGAUAGUAAUAUUUGCCUCUGAGUGUAUGUGAAUUAUUUUGAUAAAAAUAAAUAUUAUUUUUAAAAUAUUAA